Molecule: ribosomal RNA, 402 nt
Filed under: uncultured Sphingomonas sp.
Lineage: Bacteria; Pseudomonadati; Pseudomonadota; Alphaproteobacteria; Sphingomonadales; Sphingomonadaceae
Description: bacterial SSU rRNA
Rfam family: Bacterial small subunit ribosomal RNA
Source: RNAcentral
AGUGGGGAAUAUUGGACAAUGGGCGAAAGCCUGAUCCAGCAAUGCCGCGUGAGUGAUGAAGGCCUUAGGGUUGUAAAGCUCUUUUACCCGGGAUGAUAAUGACAGUACCGGGAGAAUAAGCCCCGGCUAACUCCGUGCCAGCAGCCGCGGUAAUACGGAGGGGGCUAGCGUUGUUCGGAAUUACUGGGCGUAAAGCGCACGUAGGCGGCUUUGUAAGUUAGAGGUGAAAGCCCAGGGCUCAACCCUGGAAUUGCCUUUAAGACUGCAUCGCUUGAACAUCGGAGAGGUAAGUGGAAUUCCGAGUGUAGAGGUGAAAUUCGUAGAUAUUCGGAAGAACACCAGUGGCGAAGGCGACUUACUGGACGAUUGUUGACGCUGAGGUGCGAAAGCGUGGGGAGCAAA